Molecule: long non-coding RNA, 319 nt
Organism: Bombus huntii
Lineage: Eukaryota; Metazoa; Arthropoda; Insecta; Hymenoptera; Apidae
Exons: 2
Source: RefSeq, a predicted model, not a curated record
AAACUGCUGCGAUAAAAAAUUAUUAUUUUCACCUUAAAUGCAUCUAUACUGCCCACGUCAUUCGGGAGACAACUGGCCAGCAUCAUUUCACCUUUGCUCAACCCUAAAAUUUACACAAAUGAUUAUAUUAGAUUAUAUCUGAGGUCAUUUUAAUAUUUGGAUACUAUUAUGUAACAUAUAAAUUAUUCUAUAUACAACAACUUAUAUAAAUAGUUUCCUUACCAGCUCGAAUGAAACCUUUGGCCAAAGCCUGAGCCAUCUUACCGCCUCCUAUGAAUCCAAUCUUCAACAUUUUUGUGUCGAUAUUCAAUGCGAUCUU